RNAcentral lists this ribosomal RNA (432 nucleotides) under uncultured bacterium. RNAcentral's name for it is "partial 16S ribosomal RNA". It matches the Rfam family "Bacterial small subunit ribosomal RNA", at positions 29 to 506 of the family's 1533-position model. The record is from RNAcentral.
AACGAACGCUGGCGGCAUGCCUAACACAUGCAAGUCGAACGAGACCUUCGGGUCUAGUGGCGCACGGGUGCGUAACGCGUGGGAACCUGCCCUUAGGUUCGGAAUAACUCCCCGAAAGGGGUGCUAAUACCGGAUAAUGUCUUCGGACCAAAGAUUUAUCGCCUUUGGAUGGGCCCGCGUUGGAUUAGCUAGUUGGUAGGGUAAAAGCCUACCAAGGCGACGAUCCAUAGCUGGUCUGAGAGGAUGAUCAGCCACACUGGGACUGAGACACGGCCCAGACCCCUACGGGGGGCAGCAGUGGGGAAUAUUGGACAAGGGGCGAAAGCCUGAUCCAGCAAUGCCGCGUGGGUGAUGAAGGCCUUAGGGUUUUAAAGCUCUUUUACCCGGGAUGAUAAUGACAGGACCGGGAAAAUAAGCCCAGGCAAACUCCGG